Molecule: unclassified non-coding RNA, 335 nt
Filed under: soil metagenome
Description: partial contains 5.8S ribosomal RNA, internal transcribed spacer 2, and large subunit ribosomal RNA
Rfam family: 5.8S ribosomal RNA (bases 1-120)
Source: RNAcentral
GAUGAAGAACGUAGUGAAAUGCGAUAAGUAAUGUGAAUUGCAGAAUUCAGUGAAUCAUCGAAUCUUUGAACGCACAUUGCGCCCCUUGGUAUUCCGGGGGGCAUGCCUGUUCGAGCGUCAUUUCAACCCUCAAGCUCUGCUUGGUAUUGGGCUCCGUCCUCCUCGGACGCGCCUCAAAGACCUCGGCGGUGGCGUCUUGCCUCAAGCGUAGUAGAAACACCUCGCUUUGGAGUGCAUGGCGUCGCCCGCCGGACGAAACCUUUUGUAUUUUCUCAAGGUUGACCUCGGAUCAGGUAGGGAUACCCGCUGAACUUAAGCAUAUCAUAAGCGGAGGA